UUGGGCGUAAGCGCGCGCAGGCGGCUUCUUAAGUCUGAUGUGAAAGCCCACGGCUCAACCGUGGAGGGUCAUUGGAAACUGGGAGGCUUGAGUGCAGAAGAGGAGAGCGGAAUUCCACGUGUAGCGGUGAAAUGCGUAGAGAUGUGGAGGAACACCAGUGGCGAAGGCGGCUCUCUGGUCUGUAACUGACGCUGAGGCGCGAAAGCGUGGGGAGCGAACAGGAUUAGAUACCCUGGUAGUCCACGCCGUAAACGAUGAGUGCUAAAUGUUGGAGGGUUUCCGCCCUUCAGUGCUGCAGCUAACGCAUUAAGCACUCCGCCUGGGGAGUACGGUCGCAAGACUGAAACUCAAAGGAAUUGACGGGGGCCCGCACAAGCGGUGGAGCAUGUGGUUUAAUUCGAAGCAACGCGAAGAACCUUACCAGGUCUUGACAUCCCGCUGACCGGUCUGGAGACAGAUCUUUCCCUUCGGGGACAGCGGUGACAGGUGGUGCAUGGUUGUCGUCAGCUCGUGUCGUGAGAUGUUGGGUUAAGUCCCGCAACGAGCGCAACCCUUGAUCUUAGUUGCCAGCAUUUAGUUGGGCACUCUAAGGUGACUGCCGGUGACAAACCGGAGGAAGGUGGGGAUGA
This 629-nucleotide ribosomal RNA is filed under the name uncultured bacterium. Its description in RNAcentral is "bacterial SSU rRNA". It matches the Rfam family "Bacterial small subunit ribosomal RNA", at positions 554 to 1182 of the family's 1533-position model. The record is from RNAcentral.